CACAUGAGUGGUAAGCAUUAUCCGUAUUAAUUGGGUGUAAAGGAUGCGUAGAUGGUAAAAGUAGUUAUACUAUACUAUAACGGUAAACCGGGACAAUAGUAUAAAACCUUUUUACUUGAGUUUUUUAGAAGUCUAUAAUACUUGCAAAUUAGCGAUAAAAUGCGACGAAUUUGUGAAGAUUUCCAUAUAUGAAAAUGAUAGGCUUUUUAAAACUGACAUUGAGGCAUGAAGGUUGGGGUAUCGAACAGGAAUUGUUUCCCUAUUAGUCCUAACUGUAAACGAUGAAUAUUAAAUUUUAUAAAAAAAUUUUAGCUAACGCGUAAAAUAUUCCACCUGGGGGGUACAGUCGCAAGAUUGAAACUUAACAGAAUUGGCGGGAAUUUGUUCAAACGGUGGAACAUGUGGUUUAAUGCGAUAAUCCACGCAAAACCUUACCAAUGUUUGUAGUUUUUUGCAUUGUUAUUAGUUGACUAUAAUUAAUUAUGCAAUUAGCAUAUAGUACUGCAUGGCUGUCGUCAGUUCGUGCUUUGAGGUAUGGAAUUAAGUUUCAUAACGAUCGCAACCCGAAGAACUAUUAUUAAUUUAAUUCUUUUAACUUAUUGUAAGUUAAGUUUUAUUUUUGAUAGUGUAGGUUUUUUUACCUCUCUUGUUAGUAAUAACAAAUGAUGUAAUUAAACGUAAGAGGGGCUGAAGUCAAGUCAUUAUGGUCUGAGUACACUGGGCUACACACGUGUUACAAAGGUGAAAACAAAGAGUCACAAAUGUUUAAUCUUGAGUGAAUCUCAAAAAAUCAUCACAGUUCUGAUUGUUUUCUGAAAUUCGAAAGCAUGAAGCUGAAAUCGUUAGUAAUCGUAAAUUAGUAAGUUACGGUGAAUGCUAUGUCAAAUUUUGCACACACCGCCCAUCACGCUCAGAAAAGUUUGUUGGUUUAAGCUUCCGGUAAAUUAUUUUUGAUUUUUUGUGAAAUUUUUUGUUUCAAUUAAAAUCUAAUUAUUAUAGUACAUUAGUACAAAAAAAUAAUUUUAAUGGAAAUAUGCGCCCAAGACUGACUCGCUAAUUUGAGUGAAGUUG
RNAcentral lists this ribosomal RNA (1071 nucleotides) under Bursaria sp. muco/Bumu1. RNAcentral's name for it is "partial small subunit ribosomal RNA". The stretch from base 1 to 912 matches the Rfam family "Bacterial small subunit ribosomal RNA", at positions 524 to 1533 of the family's 1533-position model. The record is from RNAcentral. Lineage: Eukaryota; Ciliophora; Colpodea; Bursariomorphida; Bursariidae.